RNA transcript from Vigna radiata var. radiata (mung bean), 645 nucleotides. RefSeq lists it as uncharacterized. The record is from RefSeq and is a predicted model, not a curated record. NCBI's taxonomy places the organism in Eukaryota, Viridiplantae, Streptophyta, Magnoliopsida, Fabales, Fabaceae. The transcript has 3 exons.
UCCCCAGCCGUUUGCUACUCUUUCCUUUCCUUUUCCUUUUCCUUUCCAAUCCAUGGCAGGAGAAGACCACGGCUGUGACAAAAACAUUGCAGUAAAAAAUGCCUUCAUUAACUACAAAAGCGGAUCACAGGAUUUCAAAGACGCCACAAUUACGACCCCAGCGGUUGAAUCUGCCUUCUUAAACAAAGGAUCAGGCCGCCAAGAUUUCAGUCGCUCAAAGAUUGAAUGUGGUCCAUCUAUUUGGGAAAAAUUCAAACGCCUUUUCAACUACGACGGAACCGAAACCAAGAAAUACGGUGAUUUUCCAGAGCAUCCACCCGCGGAAUUGACGCAAAAUAUUCCUUCCAAACCUGUUGAGGUGGUGAAAAGAUCUUCAAGCAUACCGAAGUCCAAUCACAAAACUUCUACUUCCAAACGCUGAUUGUGCAGGGACUAGUAGUGACUGAUGACAUGCAUGGAGGUAUUUUUGAAUAAAGUCGAGCCUCUGCCUCCGCCCAGCGAACGGUUCCAUGGAGCGCUCAACACUGUUUUCUUCAAUGUCUGUAUGAGAUUGCUUGCGUGACAACAAGUCUUUCUUAAUAAAUAUUUAAUGUAUUAAUUAUAAUUUUCUGUAUUUUUACAUUGAGUAGUAUAUAGGUUUUUUUG